This 372-nucleotide unclassified non-coding RNA is filed under the name uncultured bacterium. Its description in RNAcentral is "contains 16S-23S intergenic spacer region". The record is from RNAcentral.
UCCGGUUUGUCACCGGCAGUCUCAUUAGAGUGCCCUUUCGUAGCAACUAAUGACAAGGGUUGCGCUCGUUGCGGGACUUAACCCAACAUCUCACGACACGAGCUGACGACAGCCAUGCAGCACCUGUCUCCGCGCCCCUUGCGGGGACCGCCCAUCUCUGGGCGUAGCACGGGAUGUCAAGGCCUGGUAAGGUUCUGCGCGUUGCGUCGAAUUAAACCACAUGCUCCACCGCUUGUGCGGGCCCCCGCCAAUUCCUUUGAGUUUCAACCUUGCGGCCGUAGUCCCCAGGCGGAUCACUUAAUGCGUUAGCUUCGGCACGGGAGGAGUCGACACCUCCCACACCUAGUGCCCAUCGUUUACGGCGUGGACUAC